RNAcentral lists this ribosomal RNA (460 nucleotides) under uncultured bacterium. RNAcentral's name for it is "partial 16S ribosomal RNA". It matches the Rfam family "Bacterial small subunit ribosomal RNA", at positions 338 to 795 of the family's 1533-position model. The record is from RNAcentral.
CCUACGGGUGGCAGCAGUGAGGAAUAUUGGUCAAUGGACGAGAGUCUGAACCAGCCAAGUAGCGUGAAGGAUGACUGCCCUAUGGGUUGUAAACUUCUUUUAUAAAGGACUAAAACGAGUCACGUGUGCCUUUUUGCAUGUACUUUAUGAAUAAGGAUCGGCUAACUCCGGUCCAGCAGCGGCGGUAAUACGGAGGGUCCGAGCGUUAUCCGGAUUUGUUGGGUUUAAAGGGAGCGUAGGUGGGUUGUUAAGUCAGUUGUGAAAGUUUGGGGCUCAACCGUGAAAUUGCAAUUGAUACUGGCAGUCUUGAGUACAGUAGAGGUAGGUGGAAUUCGUGGUGUAGCGGUGAAAUGCGUAGAGAUCACGAAGAACCCCGAUUGCGAAGGCAGCUUACUAAACUGUGACUGACACUGAGGCGCGAAAGUGUGGGUAGCAAACAGGAUUAGAUACCCGAGUAGUC